UUCUGAAGUGAACUAAUCCUUUAAAGCGAAUGGACAAAACAUGCUGUUCUGAGCUCCAACAUUAGGGGGCAACAUAACCUCACAAGCUAUGCUUUAUUCACAUUAGACAACCACGUGAUGUCUAAAUAAAACACUGCUCACCAUUUGAUUUAAAGCACAGAGCAUGUCCAUGUUUCACUAACCACACCCACAUUAUUAAUACACAACAGAACUUCACUCUUCACAUUCAUUCAUGCAUCAGCGACACUUCAAUUGUUUUAAAAAAACACACUGAGCAUAACUUAUAAAUCAAAAAUCAAUAAAACAACAAGGAAAAUCUAACAAAUCAAUUUAAUAGUAAACAAACACUCUGAUCUUUAAAGUGGACUUCAGUUAAGAUGGAGGAGAAGCAAAUGCUGCUCAUGAUGCUCAUCACAGUUUCAGGUGGAUUUGCAGAUAAAAUUGGACCAAAAGAUGGAAAUACUAAUGUAAUCAAAGAAGAAGGAGAGUCUGUGUCACUAAGCUGCACAUAUGAAACUAACAACAAUAAUAUUUAUCUUUACUGGUACAGACAGUAUCCAAACAGAGAACCAGAAUAUUUACUGUAUAAAGGUGCUCGAUCACGGAGCAGUGAAGAUAUACCAGAUGGUUUUCAGUCGUCUACAUCUCAAUCAUCCACUGAACUCAUUAUUAACAGUGUGACUCUGUCAGAUUCAGCUCUCUAUUAUUGUGCUCUGUGGAGCCCAGUGAUACAAAGUGCCUGAGAAGCUUUACAAAAACUCAUACAAAAUUAAUGCUUUGAAGUGUCUUUAAUCAAUCUGUAUCAUGUUACUGUA
Ctenopharyngodon idella (grass carp) is the source of this 815-nucleotide non-coding RNA. Lineage: Eukaryota; Metazoa; Chordata; Actinopteri; Cypriniformes; Xenocyprididae. The record is from the annotation of a RefSeq genome assembly.